GUGCUUGCUUCAGUAGCACAUAUACUAAAAUGAAAAUGAUACAGAGAAGAUAAGCAUGUCCCCUGCAUGAGGAUGACAUGCAAUAUCAUGAAGCAUUCUAUAAAAUG
Molecule: small nuclear RNA, 107 nt
Organism: Artibeus jamaicensis (Jamaican fruit-eating bat)
Lineage: Eukaryota; Metazoa; Chordata; Mammalia; Chiroptera; Phyllostomidae
Source: RefSeq, a predicted model, not a curated record